RNAcentral lists this ribosomal RNA (435 nucleotides) under Triticum aestivum (bread wheat). RNAcentral's name for it is "partial small subunit ribosomal RNA". Lineage: Eukaryota; Viridiplantae; Streptophyta; Magnoliopsida; Poales; Poaceae. The record is from RNAcentral.
AUGGCAAUUGUCCAUACGUACGGGAAGCCUGACAUCUUCUUGACCAUGACCUGCAACCCUAACUGGGAAGAGAUAAUGAAUGAGUUGUUUCCUGGUCAGACAGCGCAAGAUCGACCUGAUCUUGUGCGUGUGUUCCAUGGCAAGCUAGAGGCGAUGAAAGAGCUGUUGUUCAAUAAGAAUAUCCUGGGUGUUGUUGUCGCACAUGUAUACGUAGUCGAGUUCCAGAAGAAGGGCCUCCCCCACGCACACUUUUUGUUGAUCAUGGAUUCUGCCUAUAAGCUUGUCAUUCCGGAGCAGUACGAUCGACUCAUUUCUGCCGAGCUCCCAGACAAGCAGAAGUAUCCUGAACUACACGCCUUGGUAGUGAAACAUAUGAUGCACGGACCAUGCGGUGCUCUCAACCCCAAAAAUGUGUGCAUGGAUGCUACGUCUUGA